ACCGCCCGUCACACCACGAGAGUUUGUAACACCCGAAGCCGGUGGGGUAACCCGUAAGGGAGCUAGCCGUCGAAGGUGGGACAGAUGAUUGGGGUGAAGUCGUAACAAGGUAGCCGUAUCGGAAGGUGCGGCUGGAUCACCUCCUUUCUAAGGAA
This 155-nucleotide ribosomal RNA is filed under the name Desulfuribacillus alkaliarsenatis. RNAcentral describes it as "partial 16S ribosomal RNA". It matches the Rfam family "Bacterial small subunit ribosomal RNA", at positions 1388 to 1533 of the family's 1533-position model. The record is from RNAcentral. Lineage: Bacteria; Bacillati; Bacillota; Desulfuribacillia; Desulfuribacillales; Desulfuribacillaceae.